This 398-nucleotide ribosomal RNA is filed under the name uncultured bacterium. Its description in RNAcentral is "partial 16S ribosomal RNA". It matches the Rfam family "Bacterial small subunit ribosomal RNA", at positions 360 to 775 of the family's 1533-position model. The record is from RNAcentral.
AAUCUUGCGCAAUGGGCGAAAGCCUGACGCAGCCAUGCCGCGUGCAUGAUGAAGGUCUUAGGAUUGUAAAAUUCUUUCACCGGGGACGAUAAUGACGGUACCCGGAGAAGAAGCCCCGGCUAACUUCGUGCCAGCACCCGCGGCAAUACGAAGGGGGCUAGCGUUGCUCGGAAUUACUGGGCGUAAAGGGCGCGUAGGCGGAUCGUUAAGUCAGAGGUGGAAUACCAGGGCUCAACCCUGGAACUGGCUUUGAUACUGGCGAUCUUGAGUAUGAGAGAAGUAUGUGGAACUCCGAGUGUAGAGGUGAAAUUCGUAGAUAUUCGGAAGAACACCAGUGGCGAAGGCGACAUACUGGCUCAUUACUGACGCUGAGGCGCGAAAGCGUGGGGAGCAAACAG